RNAcentral lists this ribosomal RNA (1372 nucleotides) under uncultured bacterium. RNAcentral's name for it is "bacterial SSU rRNA". It matches the Rfam family "Bacterial small subunit ribosomal RNA", at positions 28 to 1381 of the family's 1533-position model. The record is from RNAcentral.
GAUGAACGCUGGCGGCGUGCCUAAUACAUGCAAGUCGAGCGAACGGACGAGAAGCUUGCUUCUCUGAUGUUAGCGGCGGACGGGUGAGUAACACGUGGAUAACCUACCUAUAAGACUGGGAUAACUUCGGGAAACCGGAGCUAAUACCGGAUAAUAUUUUGAACCGCAUGGUUCAAAAGUGAAAGACGGUCUUGCUGUCACUUAUAGAUGGAUCCGCGCUGCAUUAGCUAGUUGGUAAGGUAACGGCUUACCAAGGCAACGAUGCAUAGCCGACCUGAGAGGGUGAUCGGCCACACUGGAACUGAGACACGGUCCAGACUCCUACGGGAGGCAGCAGUAGGGAAUCUUCCGCAAUGGGCGAAAGCCUGACGGAGCAACGCCGCGUGGGUGAUGAAGGUCUUCGGAUCGUAAAACUCUGUUAUUAGGGAAGAACAUAUGUGUAAGUAACUGUGCACAUCUUGACGGUACCUAAUCAGAAAGCCACGGCUAACUACGUGCCAGCAGCCGCGGUAAUACGUAGGUGGCAAGCGUUAUCCGGAAUUAUUGGGCGUAAAGCGCGCGUAGGCGGUUUUUUAAGUCUGAUGUGAAAGCCCACGGCUCAACCGUGGAGGGUCAUUGGAAACUGGAAAACUUGAGUGCAGAAGAGGAAAGUGGAAUUCCACGUGUAGCGGUGAAAUGCGCAGAGAUAUGGAGGAACACCAGUGGCGAAGGCGACUUUCUGGUCUGUAACUGACGCUGAUGUGCGAAAGCGUGGGGAUCAAACAGGAUUAGAUACCCUGGUAGUCCACGCCGUAAACGAUGAGUGCUAAGUGUUAGGGGGUUUCCGCCCCUUAGUGCUGCAGCUAACGCAUUAAGCACUCCGCCUGGGGAGUACGACCGCAAGGUUGAAACUCAAAGGAAUUGACGGGGACCCGCACAAGCGGUGGAGCAUGUGGUUUAAUUCGAAGCAACGCGAAGAACCUUACCAAAUCUUGACAUCCUUUGACAACUCUAGAGAUAGAGCUUUCCCCUUCGGGGGACAAAGUGACAGGUGGUGCAUGGUUGUCGUCAGCUCGUGUCGUGAGAUGUUGGGUUAAGUCCCGCAACGAGCGCAACCCUUAAGCUUAGUUGCCAUCAUUAAGUUGGGCACUCUAAGUUGACUGCCGGUGACAAACCGGAGGAAGGUGGGGAUGACGUCAAAUCAUCAUGCCCCUUAUGAUUUGGGCUACACACGUGCUACAAUGGACAAUACAAAGGGCAGCGAAACCGCGAGGUCAAGCAAAUCCCAUAAAGUUGUUCUCAGUUCGGAUUGUAGUCUGCAACUCGACUACAUGAAGCUGGAAUCGCUAGUAAUCGUAGAUCAGCAUGCUACGGUGAAUACGUUCCCGGGUCU